This 293-nucleotide ribosomal RNA is filed under the name uncultured bacterium. RNAcentral describes it as "partial 16S ribosomal RNA". It matches the Rfam family "Bacterial small subunit ribosomal RNA", at positions 335 to 626 of the family's 1533-position model. The record is from RNAcentral.
ACUCCUACGGGAGGCAGCAGUGAGGAAUAUUGGUCAAUGGGCGCAAGCCUGAACCAGCCAAGUAGCGUGAAGGAUGACUGCCUAUGGGUUGUAAACUUCUUUUAUAAAGGAAUAACCAACAGUACGUGUACUGUUCUGUAUGUACUUAUGAAUAAGCAUCGGCUAACUCCGUGCCAGCAGCCGCGGUAAUACGGAGGAUGCGAGCGUUAUCCGGAUUUAUUGGGUUUAAAGGGUGCGUAGGCGGUACAUUUAAGUCAGCUGUGAAAGUUUGAGGCUCAACCUUAAAAUUGCAG